GUAAUCGCGGAUCAGCACGCCGCGGUGAAUACGUUCCCGGGCCUUGUACACACCGCCCGUCACACCAUGGAAGUCUCGCAAUGCCCGAAGCCGGUGGCCUAACCACUUAUGUGGAAGGAGCCGUCUAAGGCAGGGCAGAUGACUGGGGUGAAGUCGUAACAAGGUAAC
Molecule: ribosomal RNA, 168 nt
Filed under: uncultured bacterium
Lineage: Bacteria
Description: partial 16S ribosomal RNA
Rfam family: Bacterial small subunit ribosomal RNA
Source: RNAcentral